UCACAUAUAAGUCACUUGUUGCUAAUUAUUUACCAGAAAUGACUUGUUAGGAUUUGUGAUAUUUUUCACUAUAUAGAAAAGUAUGUGGCAUGUAUCUCAUAGCAAACAAUGGCUUUCCCUAAGGCAAACAACCACUCCUUUUCUUCUGUUCUUACAAAAAUCAAUUUAUCACUCUCAUCCCACAACACAAUGCUCACACCCACAACUCAUUCCGCGGCUGCUCUGCCCACCACGGCUUCUCAUUGUUGCCUUCCUUCGAUGCCACGUCAUUUAGCACGCACCUUGCUCUCACCCUCCCUGUUCCCUCCUCUCCACGGCGUCACCGGCCGCUCCUCUCCACUCCACGGCGUCACCGGCCGCUCCUCCAAGGAGUACACAUCAUCGUAGCCGAGGGCGACCACCACGACAACACAACAUGUUGUUCAUCGCAACGCCACACCUUCUCUGAGCAUAUACCAAGCUUAUGUGUACAUCCUUUUACCUAGUAGAUAUAAAUAUUUCAAUGGUUCUACAUGUCCUUGCAGAUAUAUCCACCUCACUACUACUACCACAGCGGGUUCCUUGCUGCAAAAUGAAUUGACAAAUAUUAACAUUGACAAAAGAUCAUUUUAUGCUAUAACAUAUGCAAUAAGUGUAUAAUUUCCAUGGGUUUACCCAUGAUUUGAUGGCCCCAAGCCAUUCUUUUAAAACAAUAGAUGAAUACUCAUGCAUUGGCAUGGAACGAUAAACUUAAAACACUGAUAAAAAAAUUGUAAUCCAUAACAUGUCGCUUGUGGCUUAUGAAUGCUUUCCGAUAAAUAUCACUAUGUAUUACUGUUAAGACAACAAAUUUAAAGAUCAACUAUAACGCCAACCAUAGAUCGACUGGAAUUGCAUCUACGCAUGGAUGUCAUUUAGCUUUAGACGUAACAAUAAACUGCAGAGAUAAUAGUGUACCUCUAAAUGUAAAACUGUCCAAGCAACAAGUUUUUGUUGUUAGUACAAAUGCAAUUGAUGUUGCCGAAAUAAUUCAUCUUCUUGGUCCAUAAAAUAAUAGAAGCUUAGAACCAGAGCAUCUUAUCAUAAGUGAUCAAAGUUGUUAUCUUGCAAUAGUGGGAAUACUUGGAAUAUCCUUUAACUAUACAAAGUUGUCGACACUGUCAACUCUGAUCCUACAACAGAUUGAUGCCCACUGCCCACCUCAUGUUUUCAUGAAAAAAUAUACGUGACAAGAUAUGUAUACAAAGCUUCCAUGUAGAGAUGCAACCUUCAUCAAGCAAGGAAAUGUGCCUUCUUAGAGAAAAGAGCAUGCGCAGGAACAUCACUCAUUCAAUGAAGGAACAAUAAUAAUCAGGCAUCAGGUUCACAUCUCGGCGUU
RNAcentral lists this long non-coding RNA (1357 nucleotides) under Triticum aestivum (bread wheat). RNAcentral's name for it is "long non-coding RNA (TAES_LNC000181)". Lineage: Eukaryota; Viridiplantae; Streptophyta; Magnoliopsida; Poales; Poaceae. The record is from RNAcentral.